RNAcentral lists this long non-coding RNA (1541 nucleotides) under Brassica rapa (field mustard). RNAcentral describes it as "long non-coding RNA (BRAP_LNC004390)". The record is from RNAcentral. Lineage: Eukaryota; Viridiplantae; Streptophyta; Magnoliopsida; Brassicales; Brassicaceae.
GGGUAUAGAAUUUGAAGAAAAAAAAUUGUUUUUUUUUUCAAAUUUAUUAUUGCUGAAGUGUUAAUUGUCACAUAAUUUGCAGUGCAAAAUGUAAAUCAAAAUGAAGGAUUCCAUUUUCUGUACUCUGGCACUCGCAACCCUUGAAGCUUCGUCACUCAUCAGGCUCUACACCAUUCCAACCGAAUCAAUACCUAGCAGCCUUUAAGAUGGGCUCAGUCAUCUGCAACAGAUAUAAAACUUAAACUCAGUAAUAAGAGCUACGAUCAGAUUCAGAGAAAGACAAAUAAGAUCUCACCACAAGAUAUCAAACUGCAGUUUCAAUACAGUCCAGUCACAGCAAAAGGCAAUUCAGACACAAGACAAGCUCCUCAGUCUUGUGUAUGAGAAUGCACUCUCGAAGAAAGAAGAAAUAAACAUGCAUACCUGAUAAUUAAGAGAAACAUAAGCUUUAAAAUUGGUUCAGACAUGAGCUUUAAAAUUGUUCUAAACCAAAGGAACGAACUCUGGCCAUCAUCAACGAACCGAACAGCUUUACGCUCCCUAACAUAAAAAAUCAGCAUAAGCUAAUGCUUACAUGAUACUAAAACUGUCUCUUACAAAAGAUAUUCAUACAAAACAUAACUCAUUUUCUCGGGCAAGAUAUAUACGAUCCCAAACGUCCAUAGAAACAGAGACGAACACAAUGAAAAGCAAUGCCAAAAUGCUUCGGCCUUUUGAGAUGAUACGCUGGAUUCAUAUAUCUCCAUAGCCCAGAACCAGUUAUCGAUCUACCUAUUGCAAACAAAUCCAAUUUCCCCUCAGAUACAAACAUCAUAAGCCUGAGACUGUGUUCAUGCUUAGAGGGUCAACACUCAAUUUUUUAAGCCAUCUUCAACACAAGAGCCAAAAGAAAAGAGUCUUACCUCAGAGGCAACAGGUUACCUGAAGUUAAACUUCACAACGAUUUCCUUAAUCUCAUCGUCAAACUCAGGUUGCUCUGGAAACAAAGAUCAGAAAUCACAAACCCUAGAAAAUCUCCUUGGAAUCAGAAGCACCAGAAAUGUCUGCUUCUUCUACAAAAGAAACAGAGUAGCUAAAAGAAAUUGUGAGACCAAAUCUAAGGAAAGCCUCAAAGGAACAAGCUUUAGCUUAUAAACAUACAAGAGACGUUACCAGGCUUGCAGAAAGGCAGCCGAUGUUACCGUCACUGAAACUCCGGCAGAAUCUCCGUCGUGGCUCCGUCUCCUCCUCCGCUAAUACUUUUCAAUCUCUAGAUUUAGUUUCGCUGAUUCGAUUUCAGUAAAUCGAUUAAAGGGAAACUUAGAGAAAGAGAUGACCCAUAAUAGAAGAAGAUGGAGGAUGAAGAAGCUCGAUUGAAGUAAUGGAGACAAGUUUUUUUUUUUUUUUUGUUCACGAACGGAGAAGAAGAUAAAAUAGAGGACUGAGGUUUUUUCUUCUUCUGAAGAAAAAAAAACGAAAAGAACUAGAGAAAAAAAAAUAGUUAUACUAAAACAAAAUAUUUUGGUGGCAAAAGUUAUUUUUUUCACUAAGGCUUCGAAUGG